This is a long non-coding RNA of Acipenser ruthenus (sterlet), 914 nucleotides long. RefSeq lists it as uncharacterized. The record is from RefSeq and is a predicted model, not a curated record. NCBI's taxonomy places the organism in Eukaryota, Metazoa, Chordata, Actinopteri, Acipenseriformes, Acipenseridae. The transcript has 3 exons.
UGUCAAAGGAAAGCUGUCUACUGUGUUAAAACAUUUUGCACCAGUGCAAAUUUUACAUGUUUUCCUUUCUUUUUAAAUGUGUUUUCCUGUGUGGAAUGAAUGUGUUUUUUUUACAGAAAGAACCGCUUUGUCAGCGUGUCCCGGACAGGUGUCGCGGUAGUCGCUGGCUUGGCCACACCCCCUCCCAGGUGUGCCACCUGGACGUGACCCCGCCCCCUCAGAGCAGUGCGACCAGAUGACGUUGAGUUCAAAGGCUUGAGUUUGUGCUCCUGCACAAUUCAAAAUUCAUUCGUUUUUUUUUUUUUUGUUUUGUUUACGCUAAAUGGUUAUCUCUCAAUACACUGCGCUUUGCCCGUCGCCUUCUUCCACACGUGAAUGAGACGGAAUUGUCUUCAGCGUGUCCAAACGAGCAAAGAUGGGCCGAAUGGCCUCCUCUCGUUUGUAAACUUUCUUAUGUUCUUAUGUGUCUCCGGCAGGUAAAUUGAACUGCAGCGUCUCAGGAUGCAGGGGGGUGAACGAUAAGCUAGAUCCACUUUCUCAGCGAUUGACUUGAGGAGGUCCCAGAUGAAGAUGCACCCUCCUCCCUCACUGUUCAGUCGAAUGUACAGGAGUAGAGUGGUUCUGUGGUGCCUAGCUAUGUUUAUUGAAACACAGGCAGCCCAUAGCCUUAUUAAUAACAGUUAACGUGUGUAUAAUUUACCUGACCUGUGUAGAUGUUUGAAGCAGUGCACUGCCCAGUGGUGUGCCCUUCUGUCCUUGUUUUAAGAAAUACAUGUCUUUACACAAGUCUCCUUUUUGUUUGUAUUUAUUUAUAAUUUUUCUCCCCAGUGCAUUUGGCUGGUAUUAGUAGCUAGCAAAUAAUGUAAUUUAAUGCAUCUAUUUAUUACUGAAGAUGUCCUCUGUGCACUGGGAGG